This 540-nucleotide unclassified non-coding RNA is filed under the name Hevea brasiliensis (rubber tree). Lineage: Eukaryota; Viridiplantae; Streptophyta; Magnoliopsida; Malpighiales; Euphorbiaceae. The record is from RNAcentral.
GUCAGAUAAUAAUCAACCUCAUCUUGCAGUCUUUCGAUACAAGUCUUCAACAUGAUUUCAAAUUAAGGAAACAUACCUCCAUAAAAAAUUCAAACUUCACUGUCAACUUUUGUUGACAUGGCAGAAAUCUGGUGCAAGCAGGAGAAGCUUGGUCCAAUAGGAUCUGACCCGGAAGUUUUGGGCUUCAGGAGCAUUGGAUGACCAAUCUGACAACGGCCACCAAGUGAUCGGAAGAAGGCAAGGUGCUAAGAAGUGACAAACAUUGAAUUCUGUGGGUUUACGAUUGGAUCUUGAGUCGGUUUGGAUUUGACCUGAACAAAUCUCCUUCUCCGAGAAGAUUCUGGUUUCCGGAAUCUUAGGUUGGGGGUCUGCCGCCGUCGAACCACCUCAGGCGACCGGACUGGUAUCUCCGGAUUCACCACAAGCCGGUGAGUCUACUGGUGACAAGUCUACUUUUUUUUUAACAAUAAACAGUAAGCUAUGGUAGAAAAAUUGGGUCAAAAAAUAAAGGAAAAUUUUAAUGGCACAAGGGAGGUGGGG